UACGUAGGGGGCUAGCGUUGUCCGGAAUCAUUGGGCGUAAAGCGCGUGUAGGCGGUCCGGUAAGUCCGCUGUGAAAGUCGGGGGCUCAACCCUCGGAUGCCGGUGGAUACUGUCGGGCUUGAGUACGGAAGAGGCGAGUGGAAUUCCUGGUGUAGCGGUGAAAUGCGUAGAUAUCGGGAGGAACACCAGUGGCGAAGGCGGCGAUCUGGGAAGAUACUGACGCUGAGGUGCGAAAGCGUGGGGAGCAAACAGG
This 253-nucleotide ribosomal RNA is filed under the name uncultured bacterium. Its description in RNAcentral is "partial 16S ribosomal RNA". It matches the Rfam family "Bacterial small subunit ribosomal RNA", at positions 524 to 776 of the family's 1533-position model. The record is from RNAcentral.